AUUGAACGCUGGCGGCAUGCUUUACACAUGCAAGUCGAGCGGCAGCGCGGGGGGCAACCCUGGCGGCGAGCGGCGAACGGGUGAGGAAUACAUCGGAACGUGCCCGAGAGUGGGGGAUAACGCCGCGAAAGCGGCGCUAAUACCGCAUAUUCUCCGAGGAGGAAAGUGGGGGGACCGCAAGGCCUCACGCUCACGGAGCGGCCGAUGUCGGAUUAGCUAGUUGGUGGGGUAAAGGCUUACCAAGGCGACGAUCCGUAGCUGGUCUGAGAGGAUGAUCAGCCACACUGGGACUGAGACACGGCCCAGACUCCUACGGGAGGCAGCAGUGGGGAAUUUUGGACAAUGGGGGCAACCCUGAUCCAGCCAUGCCGCGUGCGGGAAGAAGGCC
This 388-nucleotide ribosomal RNA is filed under the name uncultured bacterium. RNAcentral's name for it is "bacterial SSU rRNA". It matches the Rfam family "Bacterial small subunit ribosomal RNA", at positions 29 to 416 of the family's 1533-position model. The record is from RNAcentral.